GAUUUUUAUUAUAACAACAUGUUUUUAUGUCUUAUUUUCACUCCAUAAUCAGAAGUUUAAUUACAUUGUCAUAUUUUUGUUUGCAAAACUUAAAAUUUGUUUUCACAUAUGGAUAACAGCAUAUCCCUGAAUCUAAUGUGAAAGCAAAGUAUAAAGUUUUACUUUCAAAAUUAUUAAGUUCCAAUCUUUGAUGCGUGAAUUUUUUGCCUCCUUUUACUCCAGCAGGAGAAUUUGAAAAAUGAUAUUAUUACCAAAUGGCUUUGUUGUUUUUUAGUUAUAAUAAUCCAGAUCUAUGAUGUCAGAGUAAUACUAACGAAGAAUGAAUUCAAAAUUUAUUACAGUAAAUUGCAUAAACAUGAAAAUGUUUUUUUCAGCUGAGUUGGUGAAAGAAAAUAUACAUUAUUUUCUCCAUCAAAGCCCACUUCCAUUUUCAGCAGAAUCCUUGCACCGACGUGUCUCUCUCUUCCUGCUGACCCGUGCCGGGGGGCCGACUGCGGGACGGUGGUCUCCGGCACGGUGCGAGUCCCUCCCCGUUGUUCUGACGUAGUUACUGAUCCCCGUUCUCUUGACAGAGCACCUCGUCGGGAUGACGACCUGUAGAGUCACCUGGUCGCACGCAGGUCUGACCACCUGUGGGACUUCGCGCCGGGGAAUUGCGUUCUCCUGUGCCCGGGGUCCGCCUUUCAGAGUGAAGGGGCUGAGGGAGGUGAGCCCUCACCCCCCGCCUGUGGAGGGAGCGCGGCUGGUCUGAUGCGGGAUGUUUCUUACACUUUCCUGGCACGCAGGAGGGCGAACUCGCUCGCAGAGAGACUCCCAGAAAGGCUCCACUGAGACGGCUUCUUGAGAGGAAACAGAGGUCCAGACGCUGGGCUGCGACCUUUGCUGCGCUGCGACCUUUGCUGUGCGACCUUUGCUGUGCGACCUUUGCUGUGUGCCUGGCCUGGCGGACUCGGCUCCUCAGCAGACAGCCGUGUCCUGCAGGGCUCGUCACACUAACGAAGCUUCGCCGUCGUAACCUGGGGAAGGAGGGAGACAGCUGGGGAAAGGCAGGGGAGGCGAUCAGAAGUGCGGGUCCCGGAUGGCGGGGUGCGGGGCGCUGGCGACUUCUCAGGAAUAUUACGGGGGAAGCCCGCCAGCCGCCAGGGGCACCUCAUUCUUCCCAGGAACCAGUGUGAUUCGUCCCCAGCCAACAGCUCAGAUGCUGACCUUUUGACCUGGACACAGACAACGCUGGUGUCGAACUGCAGCCGCACACGCACGAUUCUCUCCACGGCUCCCAGGCGCUGGCCGAUGCCAGUCUUCGGGGAGCGCGGCUCUGCGCCACCCGCUGGCGCUCCGCACGGCACUGGAGCGCACUCCGGGAGGGCAGGAGGAAGUUUAUUGAUUUUGAGACGGUUUUUCUGGAAGACCUGGAUGCUGGCCGACCCGGAGGACAGACCCGCUGGCUCCUGUUUCUGGCCCACAGGGCGGCUCCCCUGGAGAGCCAGGAGGCCUGGGGCCACCUGGGGCUCCGCCACCUGCUGGUGCACCUGAGCAGGGAGUGGAGGGGGGGACUGCAGCAGCCUUGGGCUUUUAUGGGGAUGGUGAGGGCAGCGUGGGGGGGGGCUUUCCCUGCCUCUGAAGAGCUCUCUCCCCCUCCCUCCCUGAAGCCCCCGUCUCAGCUCCGAGGCCGGGGAGCGUGGGCCGCACUUCCCUGACCGCCUCCCAGAACGCACUUCGCCUCCGCAGCCUCUCUGGGGAGCCCGUCGGAACUUUGCUAAGGUCGUGGGGUUCACAGUCCAGGUGAGCAGACCGGUACUGGUUCUCCUCCUUAAAGCACAGCCCACUAGGGUCCAGGAGGGCCCUCAGGGUCAGUGGCGGGCCGCCGCCUCCGGGUGUGGUGAAAGAGCCACAUCAAGUGGGUUGGCCGCGCCCCGUUCCUGCGAGCCGAGACAAGGCUCGGGGGCGGGGCCGCCUUCACAGGCCCGGCCUCGUUCUGGGGCACGGACUCUGGGCCGCGUGGGAGUGCACGGCUCACACCGCAGACACCCGGCAAUGUGGGUGUGCGGCCGCACUCGUUUCCUACUGCGGCUGAAACAAGUCACCACAACCUCGGUGACUCAGAACGGCGCACAUGCACCAGCUCACGUUUCUGGAGGCCAGAAGCAUACGGGAGUCCGCAGAAACGGGUUCCGUCUGCGGGCCAGUGGGGAAGGGCUCCCGCCGGCCUUCUCUGCUCCAACGGCUGCCCACACGUGCGGUCGCUUCCUCCGCCAUUAAAGCCACAGACGAGCAUCCUUCCAGAACAGGUCUCAACCACGGGGUGCCAGUAUCACAACAUCGGGAAGCAUAUUGAGAAACAUCAUGCUCUUCAAGCACAGAGAGUCGUUGACCGCAGUGUUCAUAGGCAUUUCCUGCGCUGGGGAACCAAGCUGAACUCAAAGUCACAUUGUGAGUCGAGGGGCUGCUCCGCGGGCAGGCGGAGGGAGUGUCAGAGGGGCCCAUCGGAGCCUGGAGGCCCGGGUGCCCGAGGAGGAGCCCGGGUGGCUGAGGCGGAGACACUGUGAGGCUGACAGUGGAGUCCACGAAGGGACCAGCUUGAGGCAGGGGACAGACUGCCCACGGAGUGCAGCCGGACGGCCACGGGACAGUGCCAGGUCCACAGAGCCACGGGCAGGCAGAGUGAGACGGUGGGGCACCCAAGUCAACCAAGCCAGUCCCAAAGCGGCAGGCGAGUGAGGGGAGGCGUGGUGCGGAGGUUCAGGGAGUGCAGGCCCAGGAAAGUCCCAGGGGGUGGUCCGGGCCCCCCUGGCCAUCGGCAGCCACAUGCUGGCCAACGUCGGCCGCCCGCCCAAGAGUCGCCACGUGGGGACGAACGCGUCGAGUCCGAGAACGUCCCGUCACCCGGGUGGGGCCCCCGAGGCCCAAGGCUGCCAGUGACGAGGGAACGGUGAGCCAGAAUUGUAACCGUGACUGCAACCGGACCUUGCGGAUCCUGGGGGACCCAAACCGGAAAACAGCAAUUAACAUUCUUCGUGUGAUGCCAAAACACUUUGGAAGUUCUCCUGUUGUUUAAUGCUGUUGACAUCUGUCGCGUCCUAGACAAGGCACCCCGCCUCCUAUUAGUGGUGAUAACAGUUUCCUCAGGAAGCCAAAUGAUUUACUUUAUGCUUUCGUUAAUUAUAGAGAAGGAAACUCAAACUCCUCAGGUUAUUUCCCACACGUACACGAUAAAGACCCAUGAACACCUGACUGCAAGCAAAUAUCACAUCCUCGGAGACAGAAAUCGACAGUUGCGUGAAAAAAAAUAAUUUGAAAAUAUUUACAAAGUCUGACUUCACAUAAUCAUUGAACAUGCAUGCACGUUAGACUAUUUCCUAUUCCUAAAUAAAAUCUCCAGGAUGUUG
This is a long non-coding RNA of Phyllostomus hastatus (greater spear-nosed bat), 3386 nucleotides long. RefSeq lists it as uncharacterized. The record is from RefSeq and is a predicted model, not a curated record. NCBI's taxonomy places the organism in Eukaryota, Metazoa, Chordata, Mammalia, Chiroptera, Phyllostomidae. The transcript has 3 exons.